This 987-nucleotide ribosomal RNA is filed under the name uncultured archaeon SYA-12. Its description in RNAcentral is "bacterial SSU rRNA". It matches the Rfam family "Archaeal small subunit ribosomal RNA", at positions 23 to 1038 of the family's 1478-position model. The record is from RNAcentral.
GUUACUGCUAUCGAGGUUCGACUAAGCCAUGCGAGUCGAAUGUAGCAAUACAUGGUGUACUGCUCAGUAACACGUGGAUAACCUACCCUUGAGACGGGGAUAAACCCGGGAAACUGGGUAUAAUACCCGAUAGAUCUCGACUGCUGGAAUGCAUCGAGCUCUAAAGCUCCGGCGCUCAAGGAUGGAUCUGCGGCCUAUCAGGUAGUAGUGGGUGUAGCGUACCUACUAGCCUACGACGGGUACGGGUUGUGAGAGCAAGAGCCCGGAGAUGGAUUCUGAGACACGAAUCCAGGCCCUACGGGGUGCAGCAGGCGCGAAAACUUUACAAUGCUGGAAACAGCGAUAAGGGGACCUCGAGUGCCAGGUUACAAAUCUGGCUGUCGUGAUGCCUAAAAAGCAUUGCAUAGCAAGGCCGGCAAGACCGGUGCAGCCGNCGCGGUAACACCGGCGGUCGAGUGGUACCGUAUUAUUGGGUCUAAAGGGUCUGUACCGGCCGGAUAAGUCUCUUGGAAAUCUGCAGCUUACUGCAGCUUUCAGAGAUACUGUCUGGCUCGAGGCCGGAGAGGUAGAGGUACUUCAGGGGUAGGGGUAAAUCUUGUAAUCCUUGAAGACCACCAGUGCGAAGGCGUCUCACCAGACGGACCUGACGGCAAGGACGAAAGCUAGGGCACGAACCGGAUUAGGUACCCGGGUAGUCCUAGCCGUAAACGAUACUCGCUAGGUGUCGGCCACGGUGCGACCGUUGUCGGUGCCGUAGGGAAGCCGUGAAGCGAGCCACCUGGAAGUACGGCCGCAAGGCUGAAACUUAAAGGAAUUGCGGGGGAGCACCACAACGGGUGGAGCUUGCGGUUUAAUUGGAUUCAACGCCGGAAAUCUUACCGGGACCGACAGCAAUAUGAAGGCCAGGCUGAAGACUUUGCCGGAUUAGCUGAGAGGUGGUGCAUGGCCGUCGUCAGUUCGUACUGUGAAGCAUCCUGUUAAGUCAGG